AACCAAAUAGCCCAGUCGGUACAGCAUGAGACACUUAAUUUCAAGGUCAUGGGUUCGAGCACCACGUUGGGCA
This is a non-coding RNA of Podarcis lilfordi (Lilford's wall lizard), 73 nucleotides long. The record is from the annotation of a GenBank genome assembly. NCBI's taxonomy places the organism in Eukaryota, Metazoa, Chordata, Lepidosauria, Squamata, Lacertidae.